RNAcentral lists this long non-coding RNA (294 nucleotides) under Chinchilla lanigera (long-tailed chinchilla). Its description in RNAcentral is "lncRNA (ENSCLAG00000023064.1)". Lineage: Eukaryota; Metazoa; Chordata; Mammalia; Rodentia; Chinchillidae. The record is from RNAcentral.
UGAGUUUGAUUCCUGGUACCGGAAAAAAAAAAAAAAAGUUAAGGAAAUAACGUUGGCUAUAAUGCACUUCAAACACGCUUCAAAUACUAAGUAGAAGGUGGAACUACCCUGCCACCUCUCUGCCUUCCAAGAGAUCAGGGGAACAGAUUCAUAGGCUGGUUCUUGGAAGUGGUUCCCAAACAGGGACCGGACCAGGGAAGUCCACCUGGGGGAGAAAUGUAGUAAGUCAGCUACAGGGAAUUCCACAGUGGAGAGGAGUUGGCCGGCAAGAGAAAUACACAAAAAGAAAAGCAA